GACGAACGCUGGCGGCGUGCUUAACACAUGCAAGUCGAACGAACAGGCCCUGCUUUUGUUGGUUGCUCGUGUGGCGAACGCGUGAGUAACACGUGAGUAACCUGCCCUUGUCUUUGUGAUAUCUCCUCGAAACUGGGGCUAAUAUCGCAUAUGAGCUCCUGCUGCAUGUUGGUCGUUGGAAAGUUCCGGCUGUUGGGGAUGUACUCGCUGCUUAUCAGCUUGUUGGUGUGGUAGUGGCUUACCAAGGGUUUGACGGGUAGCCUGCCUGAGAGGGUUACCGGGCACAAGGGGACUGAGAGACGGAGCAGACGGGUACGGGAGGCAGCAGGGGGAAACAUUACAGAAUAGGGGGAAGCGAGAUGCAAAGACGUCGGGUGCGGGAUAACGGGCUUCGGGUUGUAAACCGAUUUGGCAGGAGACGAAGCGUGAGUGACGGUAAUGGGUAAAGAAGCAACGGCUAACUACGUG
RNAcentral lists this ribosomal RNA (468 nucleotides) under uncultured bacterium. Its description in RNAcentral is "partial 16S ribosomal RNA". It matches the Rfam family "Bacterial small subunit ribosomal RNA", at positions 28 to 507 of the family's 1533-position model. The record is from RNAcentral.